This 499-nucleotide ribosomal RNA is filed under the name uncultured bacterium. Its description in RNAcentral is "partial 16S ribosomal RNA". It matches the Rfam family "Bacterial small subunit ribosomal RNA", at positions 28 to 507 of the family's 1533-position model. The record is from RNAcentral.
GAUGAACGCUGGCGGCGUGCCUAAUACAUGCAAGUCGAGCGAACAGACGAGAGUGCUUGCACUCUCUGACGUUAGCGGCGGACGGGUGAGUAACACGUGGGUAACCUACCUAUAAGACUGGGAUAACUUCGGGAAACCGGAGCUAAUACCGGAUAAUAUUUAGCUUCGCAUGAAGCAAUAGUGAAAGACGGUUCUGCUGUCACUUAUAGAUGGACCCGCGGUGUAUUAGCUGGUUGGUGAGGUAACGGCUCACCAAGGCAACGAUACAUAGCCGACCUGAGAGGGUGAUCGGCCACACUGGGACUGAGACACGGCCCAGACUCCUACGGGAGGCAGCAGUAGGGAAUCUGCCGCAACGGACGAAAGUCUGACGGAGCAAUGCCGCGUGAGUGAAGAAGGUUUUCGGAUCGUAAAACUCUGUUGUAAGGGAAGAACAAGUACGUUAGUAACUGAACGUACCUUGACGGUACCUGACCAGAAAGCCACGGCUAACUACGUG